AACCACACUAUGAAUGAAUGGAUUCACCAGCGAAAUGACGUGUCUGUUUCACCUAGGAUGAGGACAUGGCAUCCUAUUACCAGCCAUCACAUGAAAUUAAUAGGAUGCCACGUCCUCAUCCUUGAUGGAACAACCACGUUAUCUCAUGGGUGAAUACAUUCAUCAAUAGUGUGGUU
Oryza sativa Indica Group (long-grained rice) is the source of this 176-nucleotide microRNA precursor. It matches the Rfam family "MIR807 microRNA precursor family". The record is from Rfam. Lineage: Eukaryota; Viridiplantae; Streptophyta; Magnoliopsida; Poales; Poaceae.